AAGACAUGCAAGUCGAACGGAAGUCGUUAUAACUCAGAACAAAGAUUUAUCUGAGGGACGAGAUAUAACAAUGGCUUUAGUGGCGGACUGGUGAGUAACACGUAAGAAACCUGCCUAUUAGAGGGGAAUAACAACGAGAAAUCGUUGCUAAUACCGCAUAAGCUAGUAGUACCGCAUGGUACAGCUAGAAAAGGAGAAAUCCGCUGAUAGAUGGUCUUGCGUCCGAUUAGCUAGUUGGUGGGGUAACGGCCUACCAAGGCAACGAUCGGUAGCCGAGCUGAGAGGCUCAACGGCCACAUUGGGACUGAGAUACGGCCCAGACUCCUACGGGAGGCAGCAGUCGGGAAUAUUGCGCAAUGGAGGAAACUCUGACGCAGUGACGCCGCGUAUAGGAAGAAGGUUUUCGGAUUGUAAACUAUUUUAGAAAGGGAAGAAAUUGACAGUACCUGUAGAAUAAGCUCCGGCUAACUACGUGCCAGCAGCCGCGGUAAUACGUAGGGAGCAAGCGUUAUCCGGAUUUAUUGGGUGUAAAGGGUGCGUAGACGGGAGAACAAGUUAGUUGUGAAAGCCCUCGGCUUAACUGAGGAACUGCAACUAAAACUAUUUUUCUUGAGUGCAGGAGAGGAAAGCGGAAUUCCUAGUGUAGCGGUGAAAUGCGUAGAUAUUAGGAGGAACACCAGUGGCGAAGGCGGCUUUCUGGACUGUAACUGACGUUGAGGCACGAAAGUGUGGGGAGCAAACAGGAUUAGAUACCCUGGUAGUCCACACCGUAAACGAUGGAUACUAGGUGUAGGAGAUGAUUUCAUCAUCUGUGCCGAAAGCAAACGCAAUAAGUAUCCCACCUGGGGAGUACGGCCGCAAG
This 862-nucleotide ribosomal RNA is filed under the name uncultured Bacillota bacterium. Its description in RNAcentral is "bacterial SSU rRNA". It matches the Rfam family "Bacterial small subunit ribosomal RNA", at positions 50 to 892 of the family's 1533-position model. The record is from RNAcentral. Lineage: Bacteria; Bacillati; Bacillota.